AUGGCGGCCCCUCCGCCGCCCGCACUCACAGCCCCGCACCGCGCGCACGCCGCUCCCCUCCCGGCCUCCCCCCGCAUCCCGCGGCAGGGCCGCCCCCUGGCGUCGUGCAGCCGCAGCGCCCCGCCGGGCCCGGCCGCCCCCCACGCGAGGCGCCGUCCAUCAGCGCUCGCCGUUCCCAAUUCGCGGCGGGCGGCGCCGCCACACCCCGCCCCGCCCGGGACGGAGCCGCCGCGCAGGUGCCGGCUCCUCUCCGGGCUGCAGCGGCCCGAGGGUGAAGGGAAAAAAAGGUGUGAACCCGGAAGUACACCCGCCCCGCCGGCGGCCGCACGGCACCGCGCGCUCCGAGGCGCAACUUUUCCUCCGGCCGCGGCGGAGUCGCCCACCGCCCUCUCCCCGCGCGGGUGCCGCGGCUGCGGGAGGACGAGAGCCGGCGGACACGCAGCUCCGCGAAGGAGAGGUGAAGGAGCUCGCUUACCUCCCGCGCGCCAUGGUGGCCGGGCUGAGCGGGGCUGUCGUACCGCGGAGGGGAGGCGAGCGCCAGGUGUGUCAAAUCAUCCUUUAAACAUGACAUUCACCUGACCUACCCUUUCCCAUGGUCCCACACCAUAGGACCACACGUGUUCAGGACAUCCCCAAGCUGAUUCACACCCUUCUUCUGGCUCGAGGAUUCCAUGCACUGGAUGCAAGGCCCCUUGGCCUGCUGCACAUGACCAGGAGGAUGAGGAGGCCCUGAGCUGAGGAGUAUUGCAUCCUGCAGGACGUGCUGGGAGAUCCCUGGCUGCAGCCCUGUGUCUCUGCAUGGCCCCCGUCCCACAGUCUGCUGCUUCAAGGAGGGAGUAAGCCACAGGAAUGUGUCCAGAUUCAGGAACAGAACAGCAGGUGACAAAGAUGGCAAGGAGUCUGAAAAUUUCAGAAGCUGAAUAUGGACUACAUGAAGUACAGGAGAACAACACCAAAAAAAAGAAUUCUGGAAAGAAAGCAUUUCACAACUGUUGGAAGGCUGAAGUCAGGAUCAUUCCAGGAAUCCUCUCCUUCUAUGGUCUCAUCAUGAGAUGUUAAAAAGUGCACAUACCUUCAAGUAUAUAUCCUCCUGGGUCCCUGGCUAGCUCUUUAGAGCACACUAAUGAGCCACAUCCUGACCUCUGGGAAGUACACUAGUGUAUUGAGGAAAACAAGUCUGCAACAGAAAACUAUAAGUGCACAUGUCUUACUGGCCUUGGAUUUCCUUUCUUUCUGCCUGUAAGUGCAUGUUCUGAAGGCCUGAGGUGAUACAGGAAGCGACACAGAGGAGAAGGAUGAGGGCAGUGGUUGCGGGAAGGCAAGUUUUAAAGGAAAAAUAAAGUGGUUGAGUAGGAAGGUAAAGAAUGUGAU
This 1371-nucleotide long non-coding RNA is filed under the name Numida meleagris (helmeted guineafowl). RNAcentral describes it as "lncRNA (ENSNMEG00000008734.1)". Lineage: Eukaryota; Metazoa; Chordata; Aves; Galliformes; Numididae. The record is from RNAcentral.